Long non-coding RNA from Molossus molossus (Pallas's mastiff bat), 275 nucleotides. RefSeq lists it as uncharacterized. The transcript has 3 exons. The record is from RefSeq and is a predicted model, not a curated record. Lineage: Eukaryota; Metazoa; Chordata; Mammalia; Chiroptera; Molossidae.
CCUCAGGAGGAAUUGCUCUAAAUAGAGUCAUGUGCUGCUUCAUGUUUCGGUCAGUGUCGGACCACAUACACAACGGUGAUCCCACAAGGUUAUAUUGGAUGAGAACAAAAAGUGGGCAAUACUGAAAGAAAAGGCUGGACCUGGUGAGGGGGAAGAAAAGCAGAAGUAGUGGUCCCCCAAGAAAAGACAUCUCCCAUCCACCCUCCCAAUCGCAGCAGACAUGGAUAGAGGUGGCUGGAAAGCUUAAAACACAGCACUGGAGGACUUCCGGUCAA